RNAcentral lists this unclassified non-coding RNA (391 nucleotides) under soil metagenome. RNAcentral describes it as "partial contains 5.8S ribosomal RNA, internal transcribed spacer 2, and large subunit ribosomal RNA". The stretch from base 1 to 122 matches the Rfam family "5.8S ribosomal RNA", at positions 35 to 154 of the family's 154-position model. The record is from RNAcentral.
GAUGAAGAACGCAGCGAAAUGCGAUACUUGGUGUGAAUUGCAGAAUCCCGUGAACCAUCGAGUCUUUGAACGCAAGUUGCGCCCGAAGCCACUAGGCCGAGGGCACGCCUGCCUGGGCGUCACACGCCGUUGCCCCCCCAUCUACUCCUUCGGGAUUGCGGGGGGGCGGAUGAUGGCCUCCCGUGCGCCUAGCCGCGCGGUUGGCAUAAAUACCAAGUCCUCGGCGACGCACGCCACGACAAUCGGUGGUUGCGAAACCUCGGUUGCCCGUCGUGUGCGUUCGUCGCGCAUCGAGGGCUCGAAAAAAUGCUCGGCUCCGGCUGGGCUUUCAACGCGACCCCAAGUCAGGCGGGGUUACCCGCUGAAUUUAAGCAUAUCAAUAAGCGGAGGA